This is a long non-coding RNA of Nicotiana tabacum (common tobacco), 833 nucleotides long. RefSeq lists it as uncharacterized. NCBI's taxonomy places the organism in Eukaryota, Viridiplantae, Streptophyta, Magnoliopsida, Solanales, Solanaceae. The record is from RefSeq and is a predicted model, not a curated record.
UAGCCCUAGUAGACGCACGACAUUUCCCUUCAUCCUAGAACUUGGAGGUAAGUUAAUUUUAUCAUCAAGAAAGGUUAUCCCAAGAUAAAGUAAGUGGUUUUAACACCGAUUACUCGUUGAUGGUACCGAAUAGAAAUUUUCCCACGAAAACUUCAAAAUGAAUGUUUCUAUGAUUUCCAACAAGCGAAGGUAUGUUAAAUCUUUCCCCAUACCUUCUUCCACGAGCUCUUAUGAGUAUUCUGCAUAUAUUCUAUGUGUAGGACUCACAGGGCAGUGAUUCAAAGUUGUGAGUCCAAAUCUUGUUGGUUGUAUAUGAUAGAUGUUAUUGUUUUGUAUGAUAUGAAGUGCGUGAAGAGUUUUUAAUCUCAUAAGAAGAUUGUUUGACAUUGUAGUUAAGGCGGACGGAAGGGUGUGGAGACACAUCAUUAAAUUGAUUGUCUAGGGAGCUUGCCGCUCUUCGAAUUUAAAUAUUAUAACGAAAGGGAUGAUUCUCCGUAGUUGAUUUCAUAAUUGAGAAUCGAGGGGUGCUACGUUCACCUUGUAGGUAUACAGGCCCAAAAUGGCAGACCCUCCAAUUAGGCAUCAGUUGUGCUAUUCAGCUACUGUGGUGAUCCACGCUUACUUCUGGGGCCAAGUCUAGACUUUUGUUAUUGCGUGUAAUAGUUUUGGGUAAGUUCGAGGUCUUGUCACGUCACUUCUACGGUUUAGUUAAUCCUACAGGCUUCAUAGGUAUAUGUUGACACUUUCAGAUAUUUAGAGAUGUCUUGUUUUAGUCUUUAGUUGGGUUGUUUCGUUCUUUUAUACUCAAACGCUCAACUUUUGUUAUAUAUAGA